This 401-nucleotide unclassified non-coding RNA is filed under the name soil metagenome. RNAcentral describes it as "partial contains 5.8S ribosomal RNA, internal transcribed spacer 2, and large subunit ribosomal RNA". The stretch from base 1 to 121 matches the Rfam family "5.8S ribosomal RNA", at positions 35 to 154 of the family's 154-position model. The record is from RNAcentral.
GAUGAAGAACGUAGCGAAAUGCGAUAAGUAAUGUGAAUUGCAGAAUUCAGUGAAUCAUCGAAUCUUUGAACGCACCUUGCGCCCCUUGGUUAUUCCAAAGGGCAUGCCUGUUUGAGUAUCAUGAACACCUCAACUCUUGUGGUUUCCCACAAUGAGCUUGGACUGUGGAGGUUUUGUUGGCCCUGUGGUCAGCUCCUCUCAAAUGGAUCAGCUUACCGGUGUUUGGUGGCAUUACGGGUGUGAUAACUAUCAACGCUCGUGGUCGUCUCCAAAUAACCUCCAGUGAUGGAGGUUCGCUGGAGCUUAUAAAUGUCUCUCCCCAGUGAAGACAGCCUUUGAACGUUCGAUCUCAAAUCAGGUAGGACUACCCGCUGAACUUAAGCAUAUCAAUAAGCGGAGGA